Chiroxiphia lanceolata (lance-tailed manakin) is the source of this 556-nucleotide long non-coding RNA. RefSeq lists it as uncharacterized. The transcript has 4 exons. NCBI's taxonomy places the organism in Eukaryota, Metazoa, Chordata, Aves, Passeriformes, Pipridae. The record is from RefSeq and is a predicted model, not a curated record.
CACAAGGCAAAGAGGCAAGACAGUCCUGUGCUCAGGAGAGCAAACACCCAUGACAACAACUUCCUAACACCCAGAAAUGCAGGCAACGGAACAGAGAUCCAAGAGUAACACACAGCAACUGGACCCUGGACAGGAAAUCUAUUACACUGAAAUCUAUUACAGGAAAUCUAUUACUGCUCUCAAGUAUCUGCUUUUGGAUGCCUUCCUGAGAUGUAAUCCAGCUAGGAAAACAGGACCCUAGAGCAAUUUCAGUUUUCCUUUGGGUAGAACCUGCAGGACAACACUGAUCCCGUAAGAUCACAGCGUGUUCUGACCCUGUUCAGAGCUAAGGAUCCUCAGGACCUGUGGACCUGCAGCACCAGUUCCUGCUGGGAGGCCUCUGACCUUUUACCAGGAGCUGUUUCAAGACAAACAGUGACAAACUUAACUACGGAUCCUGCUCUGGGUGACACUUAAGUGACAGUUCAGGUUGACACCUCGACUGUGCUUUCCAUAACUCUACAACCUUCUGCAAUGGCAGUGGGACAAUGAUUUCAUAUGCCAAUGUUUCAAAGUG